Molecule: long non-coding RNA, 789 nt
Organism: Anthonomus grandis grandis
Lineage: Eukaryota; Metazoa; Arthropoda; Insecta; Coleoptera; Curculionidae
Exons: 3
Source: RefSeq, a predicted model, not a curated record
CGUUUCGUUAAAUAUGAGUGAUAAUGGAAAAAAGACAACUUAAUUUUCUAGUCCAUGUGUCACAAAUAUUCAAUUUUCUCACGAACUAUUGGAGGUAGAAGAAUGAAAUUAACAGUAGGUUAUUAAGAAAAUAUUGGUCUACAAACUUUGUUAAGGGUUCUACGUGAUUGGAAUAAAACUUUUGGAGCUGUUGACCUAUAUUAAGGCCGACUCCAAAUAAAUUAAUUUUCAAGCCUAGACGUCCCAAAAAUCGAAGUUUCUCAGGAACUACUGGACAUAGAUGAAUAAAAAUAACGGUCCAGAGCUAACUGAAGCCCGACUGCUUUCAUAUCGGUUUUCUGUAAAGCGCUGGUGAUGUACAUGUGCAUCUCCAAGAAUCUCUCCAUGGCCCCGCCCAGUUCAGCUUGUUCAAUUUCCAACUGGGAAAGCAGGUUCACGAACCACUCGAAGGACCGCUGGUUCCUGUUUAUCCAGAAAAAAUCCACCUGGACAAGAAAUGUUAAUAGAAUUCGUCAUUAUGUUUUGGCUUUUAAGGAAUCUUGAAUAUAGUGAGUCGUGGACCUUGUUUGACAAAAUUGCCUCUAAAUGAGGAAGUUUUUGAGGUACAUGAACUGUUUUAGUAUGAAAUUGUUGGGAAAGUAAAGGACUUUCAUUAAGGAAAAACCUUCUAAGGAUAUUCAGAUUAUUUUGGGAGAAAAUUGUCAAGAAUCUUGAAGAUUUGGUAAAAAAAUUAUUAAAAAUAGUGUUAUUACCGAAAUUGCUGUAACUACCUAAAUUGUAGACAUAGAA